This 494-nucleotide ribosomal RNA is filed under the name uncultured bacterium. Its description in RNAcentral is "partial 16S ribosomal RNA". It matches the Rfam family "Bacterial small subunit ribosomal RNA", at positions 28 to 507 of the family's 1533-position model. The record is from RNAcentral.
GACGAACGCUGGCGGCGUGCUUAACACAUGCAAGUCGAACGGAAAGGCCUGCUUUCUCUUGUGGAUUGCGGGUACUCGAGUGGCGAACGGGUGAGUAACACGUGAGUGAUCUGCCCCCAACUUGGGUAUAAGCCUGGGAAACUGGGUCUAAUUCCCGAUAGGACUGCAGGGUGGUGCCUGUGGUGGAAAACGAUUUUCUAGUGGUUGGGGAUGAGCUCGCGGCCUAUCAGCUUGUUGGUGGGGUAAUGGCCUACCAAGGCGGCGACGGGUAGCCGGCCUGGGAGGGUGGACGGCCACAUUGGGACUGAGAUACGGCCCAGACUCCUACGGGAGGCAGCAGUGGGGAAUAUUGCACAAGGGGCGGAAGCCUGAUGCAGCGACGCCGCGUGGGGGAUGACGGCCUUCGGGUUGUAAACUCCUUUCGACCGCGAGGAAGCCACCUGGUUGGAAGGGUGGUGACGGUAGUGGUAGAAGAAGCACCGGCUAACUACGUG